AAUGCACCAUGUUGUAAGUCGCUCUGGAUAAGAGCGUCUGCUAAAUGACUUAAA
Molecule: non-coding RNA, 54 nt
Organism: Salmo salar (Atlantic salmon)
Lineage: Eukaryota; Metazoa; Chordata; Actinopteri; Salmoniformes; Salmonidae
Source: Rfam